GUCGAGGGGCAGCGAUGGUAGCAAUACCUGUCGGCGACCGGCGCACGGGUGAGUAACGCGUAUGUAACCUGCCCGCAACAGAGGGAUAACCCGGCGAAAGUCGGACUAAUACCUCAUAAAACAGGGGUUCCGCAUGGGGCUAUUUGUUAAAGAUUUAUUGGUUGCGGAUGGGCAUGCGUACCAUUAGGUAGUUGGUGAGGUAACGGCUCACCAAGCCAUCGAUGGUUAGGGGUUCUGAGAGGAAGGUCCCCCACACUGGUACUGAGACACGGACCAGACUCCUACGGGAGGCAGCAGUGAGGAAUAUUGGUCAAUGGGCGAGAGCCUGAACCAGCCAAGUCGCGUGAAGGAUGACUGCCCUAUGGGUUGUAAACUUCUUUUACAGGGGAAUAAAAUGAGAUACGUGUAUUUUAUUGCA
This 418-nucleotide ribosomal RNA is filed under the name Tannerella forsythia. Its description in RNAcentral is "bacterial SSU rRNA". It matches the Rfam family "Bacterial small subunit ribosomal RNA", at positions 61 to 473 of the family's 1533-position model. The record is from RNAcentral. Lineage: Bacteria; Pseudomonadati; Bacteroidota; Bacteroidia; Bacteroidales; Tannerellaceae.